Brienomyrus brachyistius is the source of this 759-nucleotide long non-coding RNA. RefSeq lists it as uncharacterized. Lineage: Eukaryota; Metazoa; Chordata; Actinopteri; Osteoglossiformes; Mormyridae. The transcript is spliced from 3 exons. The record is from RefSeq and is a predicted model, not a curated record.
GAGCUUUAUUGGAAAAAACUAAACAGAAGCAAGGUCAAAAUGGGAACAUGUGGACUGGACAGCACUGAAGCACAGGACAAACUCUGAGGCACACGCAGGGAGCAACAUCAAUGACUGGACUGGGGAGUACAUGACUGGGAAGCACUUUAUAACAGUACUGAUGAGGGAGCAAAUGAGAGGCAGCUUGAGUGAUCCAUACGAGGGCUGAAACCAGAGUAUAGCCUCCAGAACCAUGGCAUGUUUCCUGGCCGACCGGAUCAGUUUUCACCUGAGGAAACACAUGCUCGUGCGUGAGGUGAAAAGGCACAAGCACAUCAUCUACGGGAGCACCACUUGUCUACCUAAGCCUUUCAAGGGUUUCGGCAUGACGUGACAGGCUUCAGGUAUAGCCUCGCCCCGCUUUUGGCUGGGGACCCCUGCUUCACCUGAAGAAGGAGCGGCCUAUGUGCUUGGAACCCAGAGAGCAGGUAAACUCUGAUUCAUCUAGAUGAGACCCAGUGUAGAGCUGCGGAGUCUCAGAGGUGUAGGCUAUACCUCCCAUAUCUGUUCGAUGGGGAAGGAGAAUAGGAGGAAAUGUAGAUACGAUUCAUGUUAGGCAGCUAAAACACACACUGAGGCAGAGAGAAUGAGCUCAUUAUAGAAGCUAAGUGCAGCCCGUAGAUAUCUGGUAGACGUCCAUUCCGCUUCCAGAGCCAGAAAUAUUUUGACACUGGAAACCACCAGUGCCUUUGCCAAAAAGUUGCCAGCCAUGUAGUUGUG